RNAcentral lists this ribosomal RNA (253 nucleotides) under uncultured bacterium. Its description in RNAcentral is "partial 16S ribosomal RNA". It matches the Rfam family "Bacterial small subunit ribosomal RNA", at positions 524 to 776 of the family's 1533-position model. The record is from RNAcentral.
UACAGAGGUCUCAAGCGUUGUUCGGAUUCAUUGGGCGUAAAGGGUGCGUAGGUGGCGCGCUAAGUCAGGUGUGAAAUUUCGGAGCUUAACUCCGAAACUGCAUUUGAUACUGGCGUGCUUGAGGACUGGAGAGGAGACUGGAAUUCACGGUGUAGCAGUGAAAUGCGUAGAGAUCGUGAGGAAGACCAGUGGCGAAGGCGGGUCUCUGGACAGUUCCUGACGCUGAGGCACGAAGGUCAGGGGAGCAAACGGG